This 347-nucleotide ribosomal RNA is filed under the name uncultured fungus. RNAcentral's name for it is "SSU rRNA". It matches the Rfam family "Eukaryotic small subunit ribosomal RNA", at positions 20 to 370 of the family's 1831-position model. Lineage: Eukaryota; Fungi. The record is from RNAcentral.
GUAGUCAUAUGCUUGUCUCAAAGAUUAAGCCAUGCAUGUCUAAGUAUAAGCAAUAUAUACAGUGAAACUGCGAAUGGCUCAUUAAAUCAGUUAUCGUUUAUUUGAUAGUACCUUACUACUUGGAUAACCGUGGUAAUUCUAGAGCUAAUACAUGCUAAAAACCUCGACUUCGGAAGGGGUGUAUUUAUUAGAUAAAAAACCAAUGCCCUUCGGGGCUCCUUGGUGAAUCAUGAUAACUUAACGAAUCGCAUGGCCUUGUGCCGGCGAUGGUUCAUUCAAAUUCCUGCCCUAUCAACUUUCGAUGGUAGGAUAGUGGCCUACCAUGGUAUCAACGGGUAACGGGGAAU